AUGUGGAAAACAUCAGGAAUCAAGUUGCGGGAAGGUGGGAACUGUUAGAUGCGUGUGAAGAGAUCAUGAAGUCAAUCGACAAAAUAGCCAGUGAAUUCUCAAAGCGCAGUUCUCAUCUCGCCAAUCUGAUUAAAGAGGUAGAGGAGAAUUGUCUCAGGUCUGCCUUUGAACUCCUGCAGGCUAUGGAUCCCUUGCUGAGCAGGUGCAACAUAGAAAUAUCUGGGAAACCCAAAGCUGAUCUGAAUGAGAAAGUUGAAUUGCUU
Molecule: long non-coding RNA, 263 nt
Organism: Lacerta agilis (Sand lizard)
Lineage: Eukaryota; Metazoa; Chordata; Lepidosauria; Squamata; Lacertidae
Exons: 3
Source: RefSeq, a predicted model, not a curated record